RNAcentral lists this ribosomal RNA (718 nucleotides) under Leucosolenida sp. 9 JV-2020. Its description in RNAcentral is "partial large subunit ribosomal RNA". It matches the Rfam family "Eukaryotic large subunit ribosomal RNA", at positions 77 to 609 of the family's 3401-position model. The record is from RNAcentral. Lineage: Eukaryota; Metazoa; Porifera; Calcarea; Leucosolenida.
UCCCUAGUAACGGCGAGUGAAGCGGGAAGAGCUCAAGCUUGAAAUCUGGGGCGCUUGCGUCCACAGAAUUGUAGUUGAGAGAAGUGCUUUCACCGGGACGAGCGAUGGCCUAAGUUGCUUGGAACAGCACGUCAUAGAGGGUGAGAAUCCCGUCUGUGGUUGGUCGGUCCCUCGGAACGAUGCACUUUCAAAGAGUCGGGUUGUUUGGGAAUGCAGCCCAAAAUGGGUGGUAAACUCCAUCUAAAGCUAAAUAUUGCCACGAGACCGAUAGCGAACAAGUACCGUGAGGGAAAGAUGAAAAGCACUUUGAAAAGAGAGUUAAAAGCACGUGAAACCGUUGAAAGGGAAACGCGCUCGGCUAGCAAUGUACGUCUGUGAUUCAGCCGGCUAGUCUUGUCGAGUUGCCGUGUGGCGGAUCCGAAUGGACUGUCCGCGGUAGCGGCGGUGGGCGAGCUAUGGUGCACUUCAUGGACGUGCGCGUCAGCGUCGGUUCUCGACGGACGAUAAGGUGCGUGGGAAAGGUAGCUCGGUUUUCGGACCGAGUGUUAUAGGCCCGUGCGCUGGGUUCGUUGUGGGACCGAGGAGAGAGAUGAUCGCUGCGGCACCUGCCUCUCGGGGCUAGCCAGCUGUUGCCAGGUGUGCGCCAGGCGCCGAGGACUGCACGCAGUGCUUGGUGUUGAGGUGUGAUCUGGCGGUGGUGUGGGUAUAGAGGUGCCUA